GUGUAACUUGAGAGAUAGAAAUGCAAUUACUACGGUAUAUUGGAUGUGACAGAAGGUUCAAAGGAGAAUAAUUUCAUAUUUAAUUUAAUAUUGUAUUAGGCUUUUAAUUUAGGUUGAUUUCAGCAUAGAGAGUGAAUAAACUACCCAACCAUGAAGACCAUCUUUCAGCUGGGGAGGCUACACUAUGAGUCUAAGAGAGGUUAUCGGCGCUGCAGAAUUCCUUUAUCCUGUGGAAAAUGGAAGAGCUCAUAAUCACAGACACCAAGAACCUGAUGGCGAAGGCGGCUGCCAUGGACCAGCAUGGAUUGGAGCUCAGGUUAUGGUUACCUGGGUGGGCACCCAGAGGAGCAGCAAGUCUGAAAGAAUUCCUAGCAGAGAAAGUUAAGACUGUCCUUAAAAAGAGGAGGCGCUCGUCAUCGAUGGAGGCUGAGCUCAAAGCAAACUGCAAAAAAGGUUACGGAUUCAUUUGCUUGUUUUAUUUAAUUAUUUUAAAGAUUGUUUUUUGGACCUUUUUCCCCCUAUCACAGUGGCAGUGGAUAGUCAUUAAAGGGGGAGAGAGAUGGGGGACGACACGCAGCAAAGGGCCGCUGCACGUUCAGCCAACAUGGGGCGAACGCUCCCAUGGUUGCGCUAGAGGCCGCCCCGAAUAAUUUGCUUGUUUUUGUUAUGCUAAGUGUUGUACAUAUAGUGACUGUUCAUUUUAAUAAUAAAAAAAUAAUAAUUUAA
Molecule: long non-coding RNA, 726 nt
Organism: Perca fluviatilis (European perch)
Lineage: Eukaryota; Metazoa; Chordata; Actinopteri; Perciformes; Percidae
Exons: 2
Source: RefSeq, a predicted model, not a curated record